UACGUAGGGUGCGAGCGUUGUCCGGAAUUAUUGGGCGUAAAGAGCUCGUAGGCGGUCUGUCGCGUCUGCUGUGAAAACCCGAGGCUCAACCUCGGGCCUGCAGUGGGUACGGGCAGACUAGAGUGCGGUAGGGGAGAAUGGAAUUCCUGGUGUAGCGGUGGAAUGCGCAGAUAUCAGGAGGAACACCGGUGGCGAAGGCAGAUCUCUGGGCCAUUACUGACGCUGAGAAGCGAAAGCAUGGGGAGCGAACAGG
This 253-nucleotide ribosomal RNA is filed under the name uncultured bacterium. RNAcentral's name for it is "partial 16S ribosomal RNA". It matches the Rfam family "Bacterial small subunit ribosomal RNA", at positions 524 to 776 of the family's 1533-position model. The record is from RNAcentral.